RNAcentral lists this ribosomal RNA (178 nucleotides) under uncultured Flavobacterium sp. RNAcentral's name for it is "partial 16S ribosomal RNA". It matches the Rfam family "Bacterial small subunit ribosomal RNA", at positions 336 to 511 of the family's 1533-position model. Lineage: Bacteria; Pseudomonadati; Bacteroidota; Flavobacteriia; Flavobacteriales; Flavobacteriaceae. The record is from RNAcentral.
CUCCUACGGGAGGCAGCAGUGAGGAAUAUUGGACAAUGGGCGCAAGCCUGAUCCAGCCAUGCCGCGUGCAGGAAGACGCAUCUAUGGAGUGUAAACUGCUUUUGUACGGGAAGAAACACUUCUACGUGUAGGAGCUUGACGGUACCGUAAGAAUAAGGAUCGGCUAACUCCGUGCCAG